RNAcentral lists this ribosomal RNA (524 nucleotides) under uncultured bacterium. RNAcentral describes it as "partial 16S ribosomal RNA". It matches the Rfam family "Bacterial small subunit ribosomal RNA", at positions 28 to 523 of the family's 1533-position model. The record is from RNAcentral.
GACGAACGCUGGCGGCGUGCCUAAUACAUGCAAGUCGAGCGCAGGAAAUCGACGGAACCCUUCGGGGGGAAGUCGACGGAAUGAGCGGCGGACGGGUGAGUAACACGUAAAGAACCUGCCCUCAGGUCUGGGAUAACCACGAGAAAUCGGGGCUAAUACCGGAUGGGUCAUCGGACCGCAUGGUUCGAGGAUGAAAGGCGCUUCGGCGUCGCCUGGGGAUGGCGUUGGGGUGCAUUAGCUAGUUGGUGGGGUAAUGGCCCACCAAGGCGACGAGGCAUAGCCGACCUGAGAGGGUGAUCGGCCACACUGGGACUGAGACACGGCCCAGACUCCUACGGGAGGCAGCAGUAGGGAAUCUUCCACAAUGGACGAAAGUCUGAUGGAGCAACGCCGCGUGAACGAUGAAGGCCUUCGGGUCGUAAAGUUCUGUUGUAAGGGAAGAACAAGUGCCGCAGGCAAUGGCGGCACCUUGACGGUACCUUGCGAGAAAGCCACGGCUAACUACGUGCCAGCCGCCGCGGUAA